AAUUCAAGCUUGCUUGAAUGAAGGAGAGGCGAACGGGUGAGUAAUACAUAAGCAACCUGCCCACGAAGACUGGGAUAAUUCCUGGAAACGGGGACUAAUACCGGAUAGGCAAUAAUGACGCAUGUCAAUAUUGUUAAAGGUUAAAAACACUGGUGGAUGGGCUUAUGGCGCAUUAGUUAGUUGGUGAGGUAACGGCUCACCAAGACGAUGAUGCGUAGCCGGCCUGAGAGGGUGAACGGCCACAUUGGGACUGAGACACGGCCCAGACUCC
RNAcentral lists this ribosomal RNA (271 nucleotides) under uncultured Solobacterium sp. Its description in RNAcentral is "partial 16S ribosomal RNA". It matches the Rfam family "Bacterial small subunit ribosomal RNA", at positions 71 to 339 of the family's 1533-position model. Lineage: Bacteria; Bacillati; Bacillota; Erysipelotrichia; Erysipelotrichales; Erysipelotrichaceae. The record is from RNAcentral.